Molecule: ribosomal RNA, 918 nt
Filed under: Betta antoni (Sanggau betta)
Lineage: Eukaryota; Metazoa; Chordata; Actinopteri; Anabantiformes; Osphronemidae
Description: partial 16S ribosomal RNA
Rfam family: Bacterial large subunit ribosomal RNA (bases 156-658)
Source: RNAcentral
CUAUUAAUAACCCCAAAAGCACUUUAUACAAAUAAACAAACCAUUUUUCCCCCUAAGUAUGGGCGAUAGAAAAGGAACACUCAGAGCUAUAAUAAAAGUACCGCAAGGGAAUGCUGAAAAAGAAAUGAAACAAACCAGUAAAGUUUAAAAAAGCAGAGAUUUACACUCGUACCUUUUGCAUCAUAAUUUAGUUAGUAAGCCACAAGCAAAAAGCAUUUUAGUUUGGCUCCCCGAAACUAAGUGAGUUACUCCAAGACAGUCUAAAAUAGGACUAACCCGUCUCUGUAGCAAAAGAGUGGGGUGAGCUUAGAGUAGAGGUGAUAAACCUACCAAACUUAGUUAUAGCUGGUUGCCUGAGAAAUGAAUAGAAGUUCAGCUUUUUGGUUUCUUUUCUCAACUUGAUUAGCUACCAUCGAAUCAAAGAAGCCAAAAAAGUUAAUUAAAGGAGGUACAGCUCCUUUAAACAAGAUACAACUUCAUCAGCUGGGUAAAGUUCACAUACAAUCAAGGCAAAAUGUUUUAGUGGGCCUAAAAGCAGCCACCUGUAAGAAAGCGUCAAAGCUCCUUCAUGCCGCCACCCUCAAAUUCAGAUAAUAUCCCCUAAACCCGCUAAUUUUAUCAAGCCGCCCCAUGUUACCAUGGGGGCGAUCAUGCUAAAAUGAGUAAUAAGAAAAGUCACCUUUUCUCCCUGCACUCGUGUAAAUCGAAACGGACCCCCCAUCGAACAUUAUCGGCCCCAAAAAAAGAGGGUAAUGAACCACCAACCUAGACAACAAGAAAGCCCACCAAAUAUUGACCGUUAACCUCACACAAUGUGCCCACAAGGAAAGACUAAAAGAAAAAGAAGGAACUCGGCAAAUACAAGCCUCGCCUGUUUACCAAAAACAUCGCCUCUUGAAAACUAAACAUAAGAGGUCC